GGUUGAUCCUGCCAGUAGUCAUAUGCUUGUCUCAAAGAUUAAGCCAUGCAUGUCUAAGUAUAAACUGCUUAUACUGUGAAACUGCGAAUGGCUCAUUAAAUCAGUUAUAGUUUAUUUGAUGGUACCUCUACUCGGAUAACCGUAGUAAUUCUAGAGCUAAUACGUGCGUAAAUCCCGACUUCUGGAAGGGACGUAUUUAUUAGAUAAAAGGCCAGCCGGGCUCACGCCCGACCUGCGGUGACUCAUGAUAACUUCACGAAUCGCACGGCCUUGCGCCGGCGAUGUUUCAUUCA
RNAcentral lists this ribosomal RNA (293 nucleotides) under uncultured eukaryote. RNAcentral describes it as "partial 18S ribosomal RNA". It matches the Rfam family "Eukaryotic small subunit ribosomal RNA", at positions 6 to 301 of the family's 1831-position model. The record is from RNAcentral.